AGCUUCAUAGUUUAUUCAAAACGCGGAGUUGCAAACUUUGAGAAACAAACAAAAAUAUUGUUGAGGCUU
This 69-nucleotide transfer RNA is filed under the name Ancistrocheirus sp. 2 FFA-2023. Its description in RNAcentral is "tRNA-Cys". The record is from RNAcentral. Lineage: Eukaryota; Metazoa; Mollusca; Cephalopoda; Oegopsida; Ancistrocheiridae.